UACGUAGGUGGCCAGCGUUGUCCGGAUUUACUGGGCGUAAAGAGCGCGCAGGCGGUCGUUCAAGUCGAGUGUGAAAGCCCCCGGCUCAACUGGGGAGGGUCACUCGAUACUGAUCGACUGGAAGGCAGGAGAGGGAAGCGGAAUUCCCGGUGUAGUGGUGAAAUGCGUAGAUAUCGGGAGGAACACCAGUGGCGAAGGCGGCUUUCUGGCCUGUUCUUGACGCUGAGGCGCGAAAGCUAGGGGAGCAAACGGG
RNAcentral lists this ribosomal RNA (253 nucleotides) under uncultured bacterium. RNAcentral describes it as "partial 16S ribosomal RNA". It matches the Rfam family "Bacterial small subunit ribosomal RNA", at positions 524 to 776 of the family's 1533-position model. The record is from RNAcentral.